GGCACCCCAGUGGGGGAAGGGGAUCUCUUUUAACCCUUUCCUUGCUAAGCGCUUGCAACAAGACUAUCUCCCUCAGGUGCGCUCGGGCACCCCAGUGGGGGAAGGGGAUCUCUUUUAACCCUUUCCUUGCUAAGUGCUUGCAACAAGACUAUCUCCCUCAGGUGCGCUCGGGCACCCCAGCGGGGGAAGGGGAUCUCUUUUAACCCUUUCCUUGCUAAGUGCUUGCAACAAGACUAUCUCCCUCAGGUGCGCUCGGGCACCCCAGAGGGGGAAGGGGAUCUCUUUUAACCCUUUCCUUGCUAAGCGCUUGCAACAAGACUAUCUCCCUCAGGUGCGCUCGGGCACCCCAGUGGGGGAAGGGGAUCUCUUUUAACCCUUUCCUUGCUAAGCGCUUGCAACAAGACUAUCUCCCUCAGGUGCGCUCGGGCACCCCAGUGGGGGAAGGGGAUCUCUUUUAACCCUUUCCUUGCUAAGCGCUUGCAACAAGACUAUCCCCUCAGGUGCGCUCGGGCACCCCAGCGGGGGAAGGGGAUCUCUUUUAACCCUUUCCUUGCUAAGUGCUCGUAAUGAGACUAUCCCCUCAGGUGCGCUCGGGCACCCCAGUGGGGGAAGGGGAUCUCUUUUAACCCUUUCCUUGCUAAGUGCUUGCAACAAGACUAUCUCCCUCAGGUGCGCUCGGGCACCCCAGUGGGGGAAGGGGAUCUCUUUUAACCCUUUCCUUGCUAAGUGCUCGUAAUGAGACUAUCUCCCUCAGGUGCGCUCGGGCACCCCAGUGGGGGAAGGGGAUCUCUUUUAACCCUUUCCUUGCUAAGCGCUUGCAACAAGACUAUCUCCCUCAGGUGCGCUCGGGCACCCCAGUGGGGGAAGGGGAUCUCUUUUAACCCUUUCCUUGCUAAGUGCUCGUAAUGAGACUAUCUCCCUCAGGUGCGCUCGGGCACCCCAGUGGGGGAAGGGGAUCUCUUUUAACCCUUUCCUUGCUAAGCGCUCGUAAUGAGACUAUCUCCCUCAGGUGCGCUCGGGCACCCCAGUGGGGGAAGGGGAUCUCUUUUAACCCUUUCCUUGCUAAGCGCUUGCAACAAGACUAUCUCCCUCAGGUGCGCUCGGGCACCCCAGUGGGGGAAGGGGAUCUCUUUUAACCCUUUCCUUGCUAAGCGCUCGUAAUGAGACUAUCUCCCUCAGGUGCGCUCGGGCACCCCAGCGGGGGAAGGGGAUCUCUUUUAACCCUUUCCUUGCUAAGCGCUUGCAACAAGACUAUCUCCCUCAGGUGCGCUCGGGCACCCCAGCGGGGGAAGGGGAUCUCUUUUAACCCUUUCCUUGCUAAGCGCUUGCAACAAGACUAUCUCCCUCAGGUGCGCUCGGGCACCCCAGCGGGGGAAGGGGAUCUCUUUUAACCCUUUCCUUGCUAAGUGCUUGCAACAAGACUAUCUCCCUCAGGUGCGCUCGGGCACCCCAGCGGGGGAAGGGGAUCUCUUUUAACCCUUUCCUUGCUAAGCGCUUGCAACAAGACUAUCUCCCUCAGGUGCGCUCGGGCACCCCAGCGGGGGAAGGGGAUCUCUUUUAACCCUUUCCUUGCUAAGCGCUUGCAACAAGACUAUCUCCCUCAGGUGCGCUCGGGCACCCCAGCGGGGGAAGGGGAUCUCUUUUAACCCUUUCCUUGCUAAGCGCUUGCAACAAGACUAUCUCCCUCAGGUGCGCUCGGGCACCCCAGUGGGGGAAGGGGAUCUCUUUUAACCCUUUCCUUGCUAAGCGCUUGCAACAAGACUAUCUCCCUCAGGUGCGCUCGGGCACCCCAGUGGGGGAAGGGGAUCUCUUAACCCUUUCCUUGCUAAGCGCUUGCAACAAGA
This is a long non-coding RNA of Eriocheir sinensis (Chinese mitten crab), 1844 nucleotides long. RefSeq lists it as uncharacterized. The record is from RefSeq and is a predicted model, not a curated record. Lineage: Eukaryota; Metazoa; Arthropoda; Malacostraca; Decapoda; Varunidae. The transcript is spliced from 6 exons.